This 987-nucleotide ribosomal RNA is filed under the name Halobacillus trueperi. Its description in RNAcentral is "bacterial SSU rRNA". It matches the Rfam family "Bacterial small subunit ribosomal RNA", at positions 42 to 994 of the family's 1533-position model. Lineage: Bacteria; Bacillati; Bacillota; Bacilli; Caryophanales; Bacillaceae. The record is from RNAcentral.
GCGGGUGCUAUACAUGCAAGUCGAGCGCGGGAAGCGAGCGGAUCCCUUCGGGGUGAAGCUCGUGGAACGAGCGGCGGACGGGUGAGUAACACGUGGGCAACCUGCCUGUAAGAUCGGAAUAACCCCGGGAAACCGGGGCUAAUGCCGGGUAAUACUUUCUUUCGCAUGAAGGAAAGUUGAAAGAUGGCUUCUUGCUAUCACUUACAGAUGGGCCCGCGGCGCAUUAGCUAGUUGGUGAGGUAACGGCUCACCAAGGCGACGAUGCGUAGCCGACCUGAGAGGGUGAUCGGCCACACUGGGACUGAGACACGGCCCAGACUCCUACGGGAGGCAGCAGUAGGGAAUCUUCCGCAAUGGACGAAAGUCUGACGGAGCAACGCCGCGUGAACGAUGAAGGUCUUCGGAUCGUAAAGUUCUGUUGUUAGGGAAGAACAAGUACCGUGCGAAUAGAGCGGUACCUUGACGGUACCUAACGAGGAAGCCCCGGCUAACUACGUGCCAGCAGCCGCGGUAAUACGUAGGGGGCAAGCGUUGUCCGGAAUUAUUGGGCGUAAAGCGCGCGCAGGCGGUUCCUUAAGUCUGAUGUGAAAGCCCACGGCUCAACCGUGGAGGGUCAUUGGAAACUGGGGAACUUGAGGACAGAAGAGGAGAGUGGAAUUCCACGUGUAGCGGUGAAAUGCGUAGAUAUGUGGAGGAACACCAGUGGCGAAGGCGACUCUCUGGUCUGUUUCUGACGCUGAGGUGCGAAAGCGUGGGUAGCAAACAGGAUUAGAUACCCUGGUAGUCCACGCCGUAAACGAUGAGUGCUAGGUGUUAGGGGGCUUCCACCCCUUAGUGCUGAAGUUAACGCAUUAAGCACUCCGCCUGGGGAGUACGGCCGCAAGGCUGAAACUCAAAGGAAUUGACGGGGGCCCGCACAAGCGGUGGAGCAUGUGGUUUAAUUCCAAAACAACGCGAAGAACCUUACCAGGUCUUGACAUCCUUGGA